Molecule: ribosomal RNA, 253 nt
Filed under: uncultured bacterium
Lineage: Bacteria
Description: partial 16S ribosomal RNA
Rfam family: Bacterial small subunit ribosomal RNA
Source: RNAcentral
UACGUAGGGGGCAAGCGUUGUCCGGAUUUAUUGGGCGUAAAGAGCGUGUAGGCGGCCUUACAGGUCAGCUGUGAAAACUCGAGGCUCAACCUCGAGACGUCGGUUGAAACCGUAAGGCUAGAGUCCGGAAGAGGAGAGUGGAAUUCCCGGUGUAGCGGUGAAAUGCGUAGAGAUCCGGAGGAACACCGACGGCGUAGGCAGCGCCCUAGACGAGACCUGACGCUCAGGCACGAAAGCGCGGGGAGCGAACAGG